Molecule: ribosomal RNA, 1394 nt
Filed under: uncultured Lactobacillus sp.
Lineage: Bacteria; Bacillati; Bacillota; Bacilli; Lactobacillales; Lactobacillaceae
Description: bacterial SSU rRNA
Rfam family: Bacterial small subunit ribosomal RNA
Source: RNAcentral
UUGAUCCUGGCUCAGGACGAACGCUGGCGGCGUGCCUAAUACAUGCAAGUCGAGCGAGCCGAACUAAUUGAUUACCUUCGGGUAUGAAGUUAGGGAAGCGAGCGGCGGAUGGGUGAGUAACACGUGGGUAACCUACCCUAUAGUCUGGGAUACCACUUGGAAACAGGUGCUAAUACCGGAUAAAAGGAGAGAUCACAUGAUUUCUUUUUGAAAGGCGGCGUAAGCUGUCGCUAAAGGAUGGACCCGCGGUGCAUUAGCUAGUUGGUAAGGUAACGGCUUACCAAGGCAACGAUGCAUAGCGAGUGUGAGAGGACCUGUCGCCCACACAUUGGGACUGAGAACGCCCAAACUUCUCUACGGAGGCAGCAGAGGGAAUCUUCCCACAAUUGGAACGCAAGUCUGAUGGAGCAACGCCGCGUGGAGUGAAGAAGGUUUUCGGAUCGUAAAGCUCUGUUGUUGGUGAAGAAAGAUAGUGAGAGUAACUGCUCAUUAUUUGCCGGUAAUCAACCAGAAAGUCACGGCUAACUACGUGCCAGCAGCCGCGGUAAUACGUAGGUGGCAAGCGUUGUCCGGAUUUAUUGGGCGUAAAGCGAGCGCAGGCGGAAAGAUAAGUCAGAUGUGAAAGCCCUCGGCUUAACCGAGGAAUAGCAUCGGAAACUGUCUUUCUUGAGUGCAGAAGAGGAGAGUGGAACUCCAUGUGUAGCGGUGGAAUGCGUAGAUAUAUGGAAGAACACCAGUGGCGAAGGCGGCUCUCUGGUCUGUAACUGACGCUGAGGCUCGAAAGCAUGGGUAGCGAACAGGAUUAGAUACCCUGGUAGUCCAUGCUGUAAACGAUGAGUGCUAAGUGGUUUGGGAGGUUUCCGCCUCUCAGUGCUGCAGCUAACGCAUUAAGCACUCCGCCUGGGGAGUACGACCGCAAGGUCAAAACUCAAAGGAAUUGACGGGGGCCCGCACAAGCGGUGGAGCAUGUGGUUUAAUUCGAAGCAACGCGAAGAACCUUACCAGGUCUUGACAUCUAGUGCCAACCUAAGAGAUUAGGCGUUCCCUUCGGGGACACUAAGACAGGUGGUGCAUGGCUGUCGUCAGCUCGUGUCGUGAAUGUUUGGGUUAAGUCCCGCAACGAGCGCAACCCUUAUUAUUAGUGCCAGCAUUAAGUGGGCACUUCUAAUGAGAACUGCCGGUGACAAACCGAGAAGUGUGGGAUUGACCUCAGAUCAUACUAUGUCCCCUAUGACCUGGGCUACACACGUGCUACAAUGGGCAGUACAACGAGGAGCGAACUUGUGAAGGCAAGCGAAUCUCUGAAAGCUGUUCUCAGUUCGGACUGUAGGCUGCAACUCGCCUACACGAAGCUGGAAUCGCUAGUAAUCGCGGAUCAGCACGCCGCGGUGAAU